CUCCUAUCUAGCUACUGAACACGAAGAAGAAAAAGAAGAAAAAUGUCUACUAGCACUUUUUUCCUCCUCUUCUUCUUCUCCAUUCUAACCCCACGUUUCGCUUUCUCUUCCCUAGUUCCGGAUCCUGAGCUAGUUGUACAAGAGGUACACAGGAGCAUCAAUGCCUCGAGGAGGAACCUUGCCUUCCUCUCAUGUGGAACCGGCAACCCCAUCGACGACUGCUGGCGGUGCGACCCCAACUGGGAGAGGAACCGCCAGAGGCUGGCAGACUGUGCUAUUGGGUUUGGGAAGGAUGCCAUUGGAGGAAGAAAUGGUAGAAUUUACGUGGUCACUGAUUCAGGUGAUGAUGAUGCUGUGAACCCAAAGCCAGGGACUCUUAGGCAUGCAGUGAUUCAAGAUGAACCCUUGUGGAUUAUUUUCCAGAGAGAUAUGGUUAUUCAGCUCAAGCAAGAACUGGUGAUGAAUUCUUUCAAGACUAUUGAUGGUAGAGGUGCUAGCGUUCACAUUUCUGGAGGACCAUGCAUUACUAUUCACUAUGCAACUAAUAUUAUCAUCCAUGGAUUACACAUACAUGAUUGUAAGCAAGGAGGGAAUGGUGAUAUAAGAGAUUCUCCUCACCACUCUGGGUGGUGGACUCAAUCGGACGGUGAUGGUGUUUCCAUCUUCACUAGCAAGCAUAUUUGGGUUGACCAUUGCUCGCUCUCUAAUUGUCAUGAUGGUCUGAUAGAUGCCAUUCAUGGAUCUACAGCCAUUACCAUCUCUAACAACUAUUUCACCCAUCAUGACAAGGUCAUGCUCUUGGGCCAUAGCGACUCGUAUAGUCAAGACAAGGACAUGCAAGUUACCAUUGCCUUUAAUCAUUUUGGAGAAGGGCUAGUGCAGAGAAUGCCNNNNNNNNNNAUGUGGUGAACAAUGACUAUACUCACUGGGAAAUGUAUGCAAUCGGUGGGAGUGCUUCCCCUACCAUCAACAGCCAAGGGAAUAGAUUUCUCGCGCCUGAUGACAGGUCCAAGAAAGAGGUGACCAAACACGAGGAUGCACCGGAAAGCGAGUGGAGGGGCUGGAACUGGAGGGCGGAUGGAGACUUAAUGGAGAACGGUGCCUUUUUCCGGCAAUCAGGUGCAGGAGCUUCUUCAAGCUAUGCUAGAGCUGCUAGCCUGAGUGCAAGACCAUCUUCUUUUGUGGGUUCAAUAACCAGGACUGCCGGUGCACUUAGCUGCAGGAGGGGUUCUCGUUGCUAGCUAGAAUUAAUUAAUUAACAAAAAAAAAAAAAUGAAGAAUUGAAAAUCACUAUAUUCUCUAGGCCUUAACUGGCCAAUAUAGUGUUCUAGUUGUGUCUCUUGUUUUUGACAACAUCUGAUCUUGCUUUUACUUUAAACAAAACAAAGGAUGCAAUCCUUUGUUUUGUUUAAAGUAAAAGCAAGAUCAGAUGUGUUGACUUUUUUAAUUAAU
Molecule: unclassified non-coding RNA, 1452 nt
Filed under: Hevea brasiliensis (rubber tree)
Lineage: Eukaryota; Viridiplantae; Streptophyta; Magnoliopsida; Malpighiales; Euphorbiaceae
Source: RNAcentral